UCAAAAAAUAUUUUUAUCUAAGAGCUUUUAUAUAGUGAGAGAUUUGCAAAACUACCAUUUUUUCUACCUUUUAACAACAAUACCCUUUUAUGUUGUCCAUUUUUAAAGAUACUCUUUCCUCUCAACAGAAUAACCAAAUUACCCUCAUUUAAUAAUAACAUAUAAUUGGAUACUGAAAUUUUCUCGCAA
This 189-nucleotide small RNA is filed under the name Arabidopsis thaliana (thale cress). RNAcentral describes it as "ATSL225620". The record is from RNAcentral. Lineage: Eukaryota; Viridiplantae; Streptophyta; Magnoliopsida; Brassicales; Brassicaceae.